GACGAACGCUGGCGGCGUGCUUAACACAUGCAAGUCGAACGGAAAGGCCCUGCCUUUGUGGCGUGCUCGAGUGGCGAACGGGUGAGUAACACGUGAGUAACCUGCCCUUGACUUUGGGAUAACUUCUGGAAACUGGGGCUAAUACCGGAUAGGAGCUCCUGCUGCAUGGGGGGGGGGGGAAAGUUUCGGCGGUUGGGGAUGGACCCGCGGCUUAUCAGCUUGUUGGUGGGGUAGUGGCUUACCAAGGCUUUGACGGGUAGCCGGCCUGAGAGGGUGACCGGCCACAUUGGGACUGAGAUACGGCCCAGACUCCUACGGGAGGCAGCAGUGGGGAAUAUUGCACAAUGGGCGGAAGCCUGAUGCAGCAACGCCGCGUGCGGGAUGACGGCCUUCGGGUUGUAAACCGCUUUCGCCUGUGACGAAGCGUGAGUGACGGUAAUGGGUAAAGAAGCACCGGCUAACUACGUG
Molecule: ribosomal RNA, 468 nt
Filed under: uncultured bacterium
Lineage: Bacteria
Description: partial 16S ribosomal RNA
Rfam family: Bacterial small subunit ribosomal RNA
Source: RNAcentral